RNAcentral lists this ribosomal RNA (497 nucleotides) under uncultured bacterium. RNAcentral describes it as "partial 16S ribosomal RNA". It matches the Rfam family "Bacterial small subunit ribosomal RNA", at positions 28 to 507 of the family's 1533-position model. The record is from RNAcentral.
GAUGAACGCUGGCGGCGUGCCUAAUACAUGCAAGUCGAGCGAACAGACGAGGAGCUUGCUCCUCUGACGUUAGUGGCGGACGGGUGAGUAACACGUGGAUAACCUACCUAUAAGACUGGGAUAACUUCGGGAAACCGGAGCUAAUCCCGGAUAAUAUAUUGAACCGCAUGGUUCAUUAGUGAAAGACGGUUUUGCUGUCACUUAUAGAUGGAUCCGCGCCGCAUUAGCUAGUUGGUAAGGUAACGGCUUACCAAGGCAACGAUGCGUAGCCGACCUGAGAGGGUGAUCGGCCACACUGGAACUGAGACACGGUCCAGACUCCUACGGGAGGCAGCAGUAGGGAAUCUUCCGCAAUGGGCGAAAGCUUGACGGAGCAACGCCGCGUGAGUGAUGAAGGUCUUCGGAUCGUAAAACUCUGUUAUUAGGGAAGAACAAAUGUGUAAGUAACUAUGCACGUCUUGACGGUACCUAAUCAGAAAGCCACGGCUAACUACGUG